Molecule: ribosomal RNA, 253 nt
Filed under: uncultured bacterium
Lineage: Bacteria
Description: partial 16S ribosomal RNA
Rfam family: Bacterial small subunit ribosomal RNA
Source: RNAcentral
GGCGAAGGAUGCAAGCGUUAUCCGGAUUCAUUGGGUUUAAAGGGAGCGUAGGUGGACUUGUAAGUCAGUGGUGAAAUCUCUUCGCUUAACGAAGAAACUGCCAUUGAUACUGCAGGUCUUGAGUACAGAUGAUGUGGGCGGAAUAUGACAUGUAGUGGUGAAAUACUUAGAUAUGUCAUAGAACACCGAUUGCGAAGGCAGCUCACAAAACUGUAACUGACACUGAGGCUCGAAAGUGCGGGGAUCAAACAGG